GAUGAAGAACGCAGCGAAAUGCGAUAAGUAAUGUGAAUUGCAGAAUUCAGUGAAUCAUCGAAUCUUUGAACGCACCUUGCGCUCUUUGGUAUUCCGAAGAGCAUGCCUGUUUGAGUGUCAUGAAAAUAUCAACCUUGACUUGGGUUUUGUGCUCUAGUCUCGGCUUGGAAUUGGGUGCUUGCCGCUUUUACGAGCGGCUCACCUUAAAUGUAUUAGCUGGAUCUGUCUUUGAGACUUGGUUUGACUUGGCGUAAUAAGUAUUUCGCUAAGGACAUUCUUCGGAGUGGCCUCGUUUCUAGGACGCUUGUCCGCUUUCCAAUACAAGUUCCACCUCGUGGACAUGACUUUUUAUUAUCUGGCCUCAAGUCAGGUAGGACUACCCGCUGAACUUAAGCAUAUCAAUAAGCGGAGGA
This 413-nucleotide unclassified non-coding RNA is filed under the name soil metagenome. RNAcentral describes it as "partial contains 5.8S ribosomal RNA, internal transcribed spacer 2, and large subunit ribosomal RNA". The stretch from base 1 to 120 matches the Rfam family "5.8S ribosomal RNA", at positions 35 to 154 of the family's 154-position model. The record is from RNAcentral.